UGACCUCAAAUCAGGCGGGACUACCCGCUGAACUUAA
This 37-nucleotide ribosomal RNA is filed under the name Favolus niveus. Its description in RNAcentral is "partial 25S ribosomal RNA". The record is from RNAcentral. RNAcentral also lists the same sequence under 1 other name. Lineage: Eukaryota; Fungi; Basidiomycota; Agaricomycetes; Polyporales; Polyporaceae.